RNAcentral lists this unclassified non-coding RNA (240 nucleotides) under soil metagenome. RNAcentral describes it as "partial contains 5.8S ribosomal RNA, internal transcribed spacer 2, and large subunit ribosomal RNA". The record is from RNAcentral.
AACUGAUACUACCUGCGGGAACCUGCGGAGGGAUCAUUACCGAAGUUACCCUUCAAAAACCCUUUGUGAACGUUACCUCUUGCCGCGUUGCCUCGGCGGGAGGCGGCGGCGGGGGGGUCGCCGCGCCCAGCGCAGGCCCUCCCCCGCCGUCCCCGCCGGCAGCGCCAAAACUCUAUUUGCACAGCGGACUGUAUGUUCUGAUUUACAAGAAAAACAAGUUAAAACUUUCAACAAUGGAUC